Long non-coding RNA from Metopolophium dirhodum (rose-grain aphid), 943 nucleotides. RefSeq lists it as uncharacterized. The record is from RefSeq and is a predicted model, not a curated record. The transcript is spliced from 4 exons. NCBI's taxonomy places the organism in Eukaryota, Metazoa, Arthropoda, Insecta, Hemiptera, Aphididae.
AUUAUUUUUUCGUUUGAAUCACUCGCGAUUUGCAAUUAUUUGAAAUUUGAACAAAAAUACAGACUACAGUCGUACAGAGUUCUGAUAGUUGUAUUCAUACAUUUUAUUACAAAAUCACCAUGCAUAAGUGUAUUCUUUUUAGUAAAACAUCUAAAGUAUCGCCUAGCCACAUUAUGUUAAUUUUAAUUUAUCUCCAAAAAAUGAAAAUAGAAGGAAAUAAUAAUGGCUAAACAUCUCCGAAUUAAAUGAUUUUCCCAAUUUCUAUCUGGCAUAGUAUCCGCGGUAAUCAUUUCACAAUAUUAGUGAAUGUAAACAAUGCUCUAAAAACACAAUCCAAAACCGUUUGCCUGGGAUAGAGAAGUAAAAUAAAUUUUAGUAAUUUACAGCGAAAUUGGUACUACUCUGAGCACGACUAGUAUAUCGAAUCUAAUUGAGUAAAAUCAUUUAACAUAAUUCAUGAAUUAGGUAUUUAUAUAUUUUUUACAACUUGACAUUUUCAGAAAAUUGUGUUUGUCCAACGAUGAGUUAGAAGAAAAUGAUCAGGCGCAUAAAGGAUUUCGAGGCUUUACAUGCUACUGAUUUUAAUUCACCCAGAAAAGUCUUAGAAACUAAAUAAUGUCCACACACACUUAUUUCAUACAGUGGAUUAUACUUAUUAUGGUUUUCAAAACUGAAAUAAUGAUGUACCACAUUCAAGGAACCAGGAAGUCGAGCCAAUGUAUUGGCAAUAUUUUUCAGACGUUGAAUUUCUCGAAGAUAAUUCUACAGACUCUGAUGAGGCCAUACAAUAUUGGACCGAAUUAUGAAACUUAAAGGUAAUACAAUUUUGCUGAGCAAGAAUCCAAUUUUAAUAACACAGACGGCCUCGACAUUAUAAAUAAUUAAAUUGCAAAGAAGCACAUAACUAGUUUGGACUUUGGUAUCUUUUCUGAAGAGGAAUUGA